GGAAGAUUCAGAGAGCGGAGUGGAAGCCCAGCUGUCAUGGCCAGGCCACAGUCCUGCAUCUGACAGGGCUGUGGACGAAAGCCGAGUCUGUCCUGGAGCAGCUGGGCCUGGGCAGGUCUGAGCCCGUGUGAGGAACAUUCCUGCAGAUGCACAGCAUGCAGAGGGCAGGCGGGGCUGACGCACACACUUCUCCCCAGUGAAUUCUGGAGGCUGGAGUCAACCUAUAGAAAGUCUUCCAUGAGGCCGAAAUUGGAGUGUGUGAUGGGGGUGGCUCCUGGGUCUCAUGGAGUUCCUCAGAGAGCUUCUGCCUGAGUUAUCUAUUGGUAUUCUGCAGCAGCUGCCUCACAGAGCCUGGAGAGCUCCAGCAAGG
Molecule: long non-coding RNA, 370 nt
Filed under: Homo sapiens (human)
Lineage: Eukaryota; Metazoa; Chordata; Mammalia; Primates; Hominidae
Description: non-protein coding lnc-MGST2-1:2
Source: RNAcentral